This 202-nucleotide ribosomal RNA is filed under the name uncultured bacterium. RNAcentral describes it as "partial 16S ribosomal RNA". It matches the Rfam family "Bacterial small subunit ribosomal RNA", at positions 134 to 334 of the family's 1533-position model. The record is from RNAcentral.
AAGACUGGGAUAAACACCGGGAAACCGGUGCUAAUACCGGAUACCCCCACCAGGCCGCAUGACCAGGUGAGGAAAUGAAUUUCGCUUUGGGAGGGGCUCGCGGGCUAUCAGCUUGGUUGGUGGGGUAACGGCCUACCAAGGCGACGACGGCUAGCUGGUCUGAGAGGACGACCAGCCACACUGGGACUGAGACACGGCCCAG